GAAUUGACGGGGGCCCGCACAAGCGGUGGCGCAUGUGGUUUAAUUCGAUGCAACGAGAAGAACCUUACCUACUCUUGACAUCCAGAGAACUUUUCAGAGAUGGAUUGGUGCCUUCGGGAACUCUGAGACAGGUGCUGCAUGGCUGUCGUCAGCUCGUGUUGUGAAAUGUUGGGUUAAGUCCCGCAACGAGCGCAACCCUUAUCCUUGUUUGCCAGCGAGUAAUGUCGGGAACUCCAGGGAGACUGCCGGUGAUAAACCGGAGGAAGGUGGGGACGACGUCAAGUCAUCAUGGCCCUUACGAGUAGGGCUACACACGUGCUACAAUGGCGCAUACAGAGGGCAGCAAGCUAGCGAUAGUGAGCGAAUCCCAAAAAGUGCGUCGUAGUCCGGAUUGGAGUCUGCAACUCGACUCCAUGAAGUCGGAAUCGCUAGUAAUCGUGAUCA
RNAcentral lists this ribosomal RNA (444 nucleotides) under Vibrio sp. 2011SOCNI36. RNAcentral's name for it is "bacterial SSU rRNA". It matches the Rfam family "Bacterial small subunit ribosomal RNA", at positions 907 to 1351 of the family's 1533-position model. Lineage: Bacteria; Pseudomonadati; Pseudomonadota; Gammaproteobacteria; Vibrionales; Vibrionaceae. The record is from RNAcentral.